GGCCGCAUAGCCAAGUGGUAAGGCAGUUCUCUGCAAAAGAACUAUACGUCGGUUCGAUUCCGACUGCGGCCU
Molecule: transfer RNA, 72 nt
Filed under: bacterium CG10_49_38
Lineage: Bacteria
Also listed under: 1 other name
Description: tRNA-Cys
Rfam family: tRNA
About the family: Transfer RNA (tRNA) molecules are approximately 80 nucleotides in length. Their secondary structure includes four short double-helical elements and three loops (D, anti-codon, and T loops). Further hydrogen bonds mediate the characteristic L-shaped molecular structure. tRNAs have two regions of fundamental functional importance: the anti-codon, which is responsible for specific mRNA codon recognition, and the 3' end, to which the tRNAs corresponding amino acid is attached (by aminoacyl-tRNA synthetases). tRNAs cope with the degeneracy of the genetic code in two manners: having more than one tRNA (with a specific anti-codon) for a particular amino acid; and 'wobble' base-pairing, i.e. permitting non-standard base-pairing at the 3rd anti-codon position.
Source: RNAcentral